CUGAAUAGGGCGCAUAAGUAACAGGUCGUAGACCCGAAACCAGGUGAUCUACCCAUGUCCAGGAUGAAGGUAAGGUAAUACUUACUGGAGGUCCGAACCCACGCACGUUGAAAAGUGCGGGGAUGAGGUGUGGGUAGCGGAGAAAUUCCAAUCGAACUUGGAGAUAGCUGGUUCUCUCCGAAAUAGCUUUAGGGCUAGCCUCGAGGUAAAGAGUCAUGGAGGUAGAGCACUGUUUGGACUAGGGGCCCUUCUCGGGUUACCGAAUUCAGAUAAACUCCGAAUGCCAUGUACUUAUACUCGGGAGUCAGACUGCGAGUGAUAAGAUCCGUAGUCGAAAGGGAAACAGCCCAGACCACCAGUUAAGGUCCCCAAAUAUAUGUUAAGUGGAAAAGGAUGUGGGGUUGCUUAGACAACCAGGAUGUUGGCUUAGAAGCAGCCACCAUUGAAAGAGUGCGUAAUAGCUCACUGGUCGAGUGACCCCGCGCCGAAAAUGUACCGGGGCUAAACAUAUUACCGAAACUGUGGAUGAACCUCUUUAGAGGUUCGUGGUAGGAGAGCGUUCUAAGGGCGGUGAAGUCAGACCGGAAGGACUGGUGGAGCGCUUAGAAGUGAGAAUGCCGGUAUGAGUAGCGAAAGAAGGGUGAGAAUCCCUUCCACCGAAUAUCUAAGGUUUCCUGAGGAAGGCUCGUCCGCUCAGGGUUAGUCGGGACCUAAGCCGAGGCCGAUAGGCGUAGGCGAUGGACAACAGGUAGAGAUUCCUGUACCAGUGCUAAUUGUUUAACCGAUGGGGUGACACAGAAGGAUAGGGAAUCGCACGAAUGGAAAUGUGCGUCCAAGCAGUGAGUGUGAGAAGUAGGCAAAUCCGCUUCUCGCGAAGCAUGAGCUGUGAUGGGGAAGGAAAUUAAGUACGGAAGUUCCUGAUUUCACGCUGUCAAGAAAAGCCUCUAGGAAGAGUAGUACUGCCCGUACCGCAAACCGACACAGGUAGAUGAG
Molecule: ribosomal RNA, 993 nt
Filed under: Listeria monocytogenes
Lineage: Bacteria; Bacillati; Bacillota; Bacilli; Caryophanales; Listeriaceae
Description: partial 23S ribosomal RNA
Rfam family: Bacterial large subunit ribosomal RNA
Source: RNAcentral